CAGCCUCAAGGGCCACAUCUUGAUCAUGCCUCUUUCGGACAGUGGCAUCAUACUACUGAGCACCUCACGCAUAUUACCCUUCAUCCUCACACCAGCCCUGUGAGGUCUGUAAAAUCGCUCUGGCAUGCAGCUAUCAUGAAAAUAAUAAAAGAAUUUUUCUAAUCCCACUGAACAAUGAACCAGACUCGGCGCUAGGAUUCACUCUCACGGUUUGGAGUACCCAGUUGUUCUGCUGUGCGGUUGCUGAAGAUCCCCAAGGAGCAAGCCUGGCUCCUGAGCACCAAGAAAUGGAAU
Long non-coding RNA from Sciurus carolinensis (gray squirrel), 294 nucleotides. RefSeq lists it as uncharacterized. The record is from RefSeq and is a predicted model, not a curated record. NCBI's taxonomy places the organism in Eukaryota, Metazoa, Chordata, Mammalia, Rodentia, Sciuridae. The transcript is spliced from 3 exons.